GGGAAUAGCCAAUAGCCAAUCAGCAGCAGACCCUCCCUCCCAGACCCUCCCACCUCCUGCACAGCUCACUAAGAAUGCAGCUUCACAAUGAAUGUAAAAUGGAUGCUGUCCAGCAGUUGUGAGGGUAUGGGAGGGAGGGUCUGCUGCUGAUUGGCUGGAAUGUGUCUG
Molecule: microRNA precursor, 168 nt
Filed under: Pelobates cultripes (western spadefoot toad)
Lineage: Eukaryota; Metazoa; Chordata; Amphibia; Anura; Pelobatidae
Source: RNAcentral